This 564-nucleotide ribosomal RNA is filed under the name Streptomyces sp. 343A03. RNAcentral's name for it is "bacterial SSU rRNA". It matches the Rfam family "Bacterial small subunit ribosomal RNA", at positions 93 to 671 of the family's 1533-position model. Lineage: Bacteria; Bacillati; Actinomycetota; Actinomycetes; Kitasatosporales; Streptomycetaceae. The record is from RNAcentral.
UAGUGGCGAACGGGUGAGUAACACGUGGGCAAUCUGCCCUUCACUCUGGGACAAGCCCUGGAAACGGGGUCUAAUACCGGAUAACACCUGCCCGGGCAUCUGGGUGGGUUAAAAGCUCCGGCGGUGAAGGAUGAGCCCGCGGCCUAUCAGCUUGUUGGUGAGGUAGUGGCUCACCAAGGCGACGACGGGUAGCCGGCCUGAGAGGGCGACCGGCCACACUGGGACUGAGACACGGCCCAGACUCCUACGGGAGGCAGCAGUGGGGAAUAUUGCACAAUGGGCGAAAGCCUGAUGCAGCGACGCCGCGUGAGGGAUGACGGCCUUCGGGUUGUAAACCUCUUUCAGCAGGGAAGAAGCGAGAGUGACGGUACCUGCAGAAGAAGCGCCGGCUAACUACGUGCCAGCAGCCGCGGUAAUACGUAGGGCGCAAGCGUUGUCCGGAAUUAUUGGGCGUAAAGAGCUCGUAGGCGGCUUGUCACGUCGGGUGUGAAAGCCCGGGGCUUAACCCCGGGUCUGCAUUCGAUACGGGCUAGCUAGAGUGUGGUAGGGGAGAUCGGAAUUCCU